UUAAGAUGUCAUCGUCAUUGUUGACCGUUCAUAAAAUCUCUACAAUUGUUUUGGAGUUUAUACGGAGAUUUUACGACAGUUAGUAGAGACAUUUGACAUCAAAUA
This 105-nucleotide microRNA precursor is filed under the name Medicago truncatula (barrel medic). Its description in RNAcentral is "miRNA gene49562". It matches the Rfam family "MIR2587 microRNA precursor family". The record is from RNAcentral. Lineage: Eukaryota; Viridiplantae; Streptophyta; Magnoliopsida; Fabales; Fabaceae.